RNAcentral lists this ribosomal RNA (555 nucleotides) under Chalcosyrphus tuberculifemur. RNAcentral's name for it is "eukaryotic LSU rRNA". Lineage: Eukaryota; Metazoa; Arthropoda; Insecta; Diptera; Syrphidae. The record is from RNAcentral.
UUAGAGGUUAAGCCCGAUGAACCUGAAUAUCCGUUAUGGAAAAUUCAUCACUAAUACUAUGAUAUAUAUCAUAUUAUAGAAAUAGUGUGCAAUUUUUCCAUAUAAGGACAUUGUAAUCUGUUAAUGUAAUAAAUAUUUAUCAUAAGAUCUUUUACUUAAGUUUAUUCAAAUUAGUUAUUUUCGGAUUUCUAACAUAGAAUAAAUGUAUUAGAUUUGAUAAAUCAUUGACAGAUUUAGUUAUAUAUAGUGCUUAAAUUUUUCGGAAUUUUACAAUGGUGAAUAGAUCUAUUGAUUUAUUUAUAUUGUAUGCGCUUAUAUGAUUAACAAUGCGAUAGAUUCAGGAUACCUUCGGGACCCGUCUUGAAACACGGACCAAGGAGUCUAACAUAAUGUCAAGGUCAUUGGGUAUUUUUAAUAAAACCCAAUGGCGUAAUUAACUUAACUGUUUUAAAUGGGAUUAGUUUAUAUUUUAUUAUGAAAUAUAAAUUCAAUCCCGGGGCGUUCUAUACAGUUAUGCAUAAUGAUAUUUAUAUUAUUUAUGCCUCUAACUAGAGC